AACGCACAUUGCGCCCGCCGGUAUUCCGGCGGGCAUGCCUGUCCGAGCGUCAUUUCAACCCUCGCGCCCCGCGCGGUGAUGGGGCCCCGCGGCUGCCGCGGGCCCUGAAAAACAGUGGCGGCCGCACCGGUGCCCGCAGCGCAGUAGCAAUCCUCGCUCGCGGAGCCCGGGGCGUGCCGGCCGUGAAACGCCACCCAAGGUUGACCUCGGAUCAGGCAGGAAUACCCGCUGAACUUAA
RNAcentral lists this unclassified non-coding RNA (238 nucleotides) under uncultured fungus. RNAcentral's name for it is "sequence contains ITS2". The stretch from base 1 to 52 matches the Rfam family "5.8S ribosomal RNA", at positions 103 to 154 of the family's 154-position model. The record is from RNAcentral. Lineage: Eukaryota; Fungi.